AAGGUUUCCGUCGAGCUCUUUUCACAAAGAGUUUCGACGGCCAAAGAUCAACCACUGUGCGCACAUAUUGAAAAAAUUAAAUGCUUUGGUGGGUUGCCUUCAAUUCUUUGGAGGUGUCUGCCAAGAGUAUUUACCCCAAAAAUCAGCCUUAUUUUUCGACUGAAAUUUUUUAAAUAAAAUUUAAUA
RNAcentral lists this unclassified non-coding RNA (186 nucleotides) under soil metagenome. Its description in RNAcentral is "partial internal transcribed spacer 1". The record is from RNAcentral.